RNAcentral lists this ribosomal RNA (496 nucleotides) under uncultured bacterium. RNAcentral describes it as "partial 16S ribosomal RNA". It matches the Rfam family "Bacterial small subunit ribosomal RNA", at positions 28 to 507 of the family's 1533-position model. The record is from RNAcentral.
GAUGAACGCUGGCGGCGUGCCUAAUACAUGCAAGUAGAACGCUGAAGGAAGGAGCUUGCUCUUUCCGGAUGAGUUGCGAACGGGUGAGUAACGCGUAGGUAACCUGCCUGGUAGCGGGGGAUAACUAUUGGAAACGAUAGCUAAUACCGCAUAACAGUAGAUGUUGCAUGAUAUCUACUUAAAAGGUGCAAUUGCACCACUACCAGAUGGACCUGCGUUGUAUUAGCUAGUUGGUGAGGUAACGGCUCACCAAGGCGACGAUACAUAGCCGACCUGAGAGGGGGUCAGCCCCACUGGGACUGGAACACGGGCCCGGCCUCUUCCGGGAGGAAGAAGUGGGGAAUCUCCGCCAUUGGCCGGAGUCUGGCCCAGCCACGGCGGGUGAAGGGAAGAAGUUUUUGGGACGGUAAAGUCUGUUUGUAGGGGAGAAAGAGUGGGGGGGGGGGAAGUUCACACUGGGAAGGUAACUGUCCAAGAAGGGACGGCUAACUACGUG